Molecule: ribosomal RNA, 403 nt
Filed under: uncultured bacterium
Lineage: Bacteria
Description: partial 16S ribosomal RNA
Rfam family: Bacterial small subunit ribosomal RNA
Source: RNAcentral
GACGAACGCUGGCGGCGUGCCUAAUACAUGCAAGUCGAACGCAGUGGGGACGGGUGAGUAACACGUGGGUAACCUCCCAUCAGAGGGGAUAACACUUGGAAACAGGUGCUAAACCGAUACUGAUGGAUGGACCCGCGGUGCAUUAGCUAGUUGGUGAGGUAACGGCUCACCAAGGCCACGAUGCAUAGCCCACCUUAGAGGGUGAUCGAACACAUUGGUAUUGAGAGCCGGCACGGACUCCUACACGAGGCAGCAUUAGGGAAUGUUCUGCAAUGGACGAAAGUCUGACCGAGCAACGCCGCGUGAGUGAAGAAGGUUUUCGGAUCAUAAAACUCUGUUGUUAGAGAAGCGGUAUCUAACCAGAAAACCACGGCUAACUACGUGCCAGCAGCCGCGGUAAUAC